ACUCAAAUGAAUAGACGGGGGCCCGCACAAGCGGAGGAGCAUGUGGCUUAAUUCGAUGCAACGCGAAGAACCUUACCUAGGCUUGACAUGUGACUGCACGCCCGGUGAAAGCCGGGUUCCUUCGAGGGUGUCACACAGGUGCUGCAUGGCUGUCGUCAGUUCGUGCCGUGAGGUGUUUGGUUAAGUCCACCAACGAACGCAACCCCUGCGUCCAGUUGCCAUCGGGUAAUGCCGGGAACUCUGGACGGACCGCCCCUUCAAACGGGAGGAAGGUGGGGAUGACGUCAAGUCAGUAUGGCCCUUACGCCUAGGGCUGCACACGUGCUACAAUGGCCGGUACAGAGGGACGCGAGACCGCGAGGUGGAGCAAACCCCCAAAACCGGCCCCAGUUCAGAUUGGAGUCUGCAACCCGACUCCAUGAAGUUGGAUUCGCUAGUAACGGCGCAUCAGCAUUCGGCGCCGUGAAUACGUUCCCGGGCCUUGCACACACCGCCCGU
Molecule: ribosomal RNA, 498 nt
Filed under: uncultured bacterium
Lineage: Bacteria
Description: bacterial SSU rRNA
Rfam family: Bacterial small subunit ribosomal RNA
Source: RNAcentral